RNAcentral lists this ribosomal RNA (601 nucleotides) under Postia sp. 4 KUC20130903B-03. Its description in RNAcentral is "eukaryotic LSU rRNA". It matches the Rfam family "Eukaryotic large subunit ribosomal RNA", at positions 66 to 648 of the family's 3401-position model. Lineage: Eukaryota; Fungi; Basidiomycota; Agaricomycetes; Polyporales; Postiaceae. The record is from RNAcentral.
UAACAAGGAUUCCCCUAGUAACUGCGAGUGAAGCGGGAAAAGCUCAAAUUUAAAAUCUGGCGGUCCUUGCGGUCGUCCGAGUUGUAAUCUGGAGAAGUGCUUUCCGUGCUGGACCGUGUACAAGUCUCUUGGAACAGAGCGUCGUAGAGGGUGAGAAUCCCGUCUUUGACACGGACUACCAGUGCUUUGUGAUGUGCUCUCAAAGAGUCGAGUUGUUUGGGAAUGCAGCUCAAAAUGGGUGGUAAAUUCCAUCUAAAGCUAAAUAUUGGCGAGAGACCGAUAGCGAACAAGUACCGUGAGGGAAAGAUGAAAAGAACUUUGGAAAGAGAGUUAAACAGUACGUGAAAUUGCUGAAAGGGAAACGCUUGAAGUCAGUCGCGUUGGCCGGAACUCAGCCUUGCUUUUGCUUGGUGCACUUUCUGGUUGACGGGUCAGCAUCAGUUUUGAUUGUCGGAUAAUGGCUGAGGGAAUGUGGCAUCUUCGGAUGUGUUAUAGCCCUUGGUCGCAUACGAUGGUUGGGACUGAGGAUCUCAGCACACCUUUAUGGUCGGGGUUCGCCCACGUUUGUGCUUAGGAUGCUGGCAUAAUGGCUUUAAACGAC